AUGUGCUGCCACUGCAGUGGACAUAGCUCCCGACAACAGAUGCAGCAUCACCGUAACGGUAAGUUUUUUGUAAGUAGUUUGAAACUUUGGAGUGAGUGGUUACAUGACUUCCUUCAAUAUUGCAAACUUUCUGAACUUCAUGAUGUUCCAUUUCAGAACCACGACAAAAAAAAGUCCAGGGGCAGGACGCUGCCUGCCAGACCCGAUGCCCAGGAUAUGCAGCAUCCCAGGUAAUAUUUAGAAAUCUUUCAUGGGGGGAACUCAUC
Long non-coding RNA from Gavialis gangeticus (Gharial), 266 nucleotides. RefSeq lists it as uncharacterized. The transcript is spliced from 4 exons. The record is from RefSeq and is a predicted model, not a curated record. Lineage: Eukaryota; Metazoa; Chordata; Crocodylia; Gavialidae.